Molecule: transfer RNA, 81 nt
Filed under: bacterium
Lineage: Bacteria
Description: tRNA-Leu
Rfam family: tRNA
About the family: Transfer RNA (tRNA) molecules are approximately 80 nucleotides in length.
Source: RNAcentral
GGGCGGGUGGCGAAAUGGCAGACGCGCAUGGUUUAGGACCAUGUUCCGUAAGGAGUGGAGGUUCAAGUCCUCUCCCGCCCA